AUACAAUCUUCAAGGCAACCAAUCAGGUAUUCUUUGAGGCGUAUAUAUUCCCUCAUAAGGAAGCUGCAUCGCACCUUGCUAAGUACUAUGACACAGCUUGCCGAGGGGAAGUGCCCACUGGAUUCACAUUGACAGGAACCGAGAAUGGUCUAUGAAAAUUGGGACUGCCUACGACACAACCAAAAUUUCUCCCCGUGUGGUAAGGUGCUAAUUCCUUUCGCGGUGUUCUUUGUCUUAGUGGAUGUUGUUUGUCCGCUUUGACUGUUAUAUGUCUAUUCGACACCUGCUUGGUCGUUGCUAAUGCGUGAUGAAACUGAUAAUUUGAUUCCCGAAUCCUGAUAUGUCAAUGCCAUCAUGUUUAUGUGUGGUUGAUCCAAAUCUGAGAUAAUGUACAUGUAGAAGGGCAUGAUAUAUGUAAAUCCUUAGUCAAUUGCAAGCCUUCAACUUGCAUUUUCUUUUCUUAACAUUCAUGAAUCUAGAUGAUGUACAUCUUUAUGAGAUGCAUGAAGAUUGCAAUGAUAUAUCAGAUGCAACUCAGCAACACUGUAGGGUGAAAGAGUGAAAGAAGUUGAAAUCAAUAUCUUCAUAGCUAUGUACUAUGUCCUUUCUCCAAUAAAAUUAUGUUAAUUCAACAACUCUGACUAUACUGACAAACUUCAUAUUUGUGUACACUGACCAUAUUGACCAGAAUGCAAUAUGUAUUUUAUUAGAUUAGUGCUUAUGAUAAGUUGGCGUACUUAAAAGUAAAUUUGGGAAUGGGAAUGCAAUAUGGCUUCCUAUGUUGAGCAGAAUUAGGAUUUCUCAAUAAGAUGAAGCUCCUGUUUUUGGGGGGAUAAGAGACACAUGUUCCUCUAUUCUUACACUAUGCAAUCUUUGCACUCUUUUGCUAAAAAACAAAUAUCUACACUCACGUUUUGGUAAGUAUUGUUGGUCAGUUUCUCUGUGGUGCUUAUAUAGAAUUUUUAAGCCUGAUAAAUUUCCAUUUUAAUUGUUCUUAACAGAUGCUUUGUUGCCAAAGCUUGCAAAUUGCAUAAACAUUUAUACAUUAUACUUUGUGUCUUGGUGCUUGUUCAAUGCCUAGCAUGGCUAUAGUUUACACUUGUCCCUUGUGAACCUGUUGAGACAAUGUGGAGCAACAAGAAGUAGGAUCAUAUUCAACAAUACAUCAGGCGCAUUUUUCUUGCUUGGAAUGAUGCAUCAGGCUUUAAUUCAACAAUAUCUAACCUUUUGAGGCGCUCCGGAAGAAAGAAAGGUGCACAUUGUGCGGUUACGAGCAUGAUGUUGGUGUGUUUCUUGAUACUAGAAAAGUGCCUUGCUUUGCAACGGAUCCAAAAUAGACUAAUGCAUUUUCAUAAACUUGAAACAAAAUCAACUUUUUUUCUGGUAUAUAUAUCACUUAAAAUAUUUUAGGUUUUGCCCAAAAUUUAUUCCUCAUUCAUGUUUGGAUGAGAUGGUGGAGAGACGAGGAUGGUCUGGAGAGACUAAGGGGUUUUCUGCCAAUGUAUAGCAUAGUGGGAGGGGUGUUUUUGCCAAAAGUAUAACAACUUGCCUCGCAUGCAUUAGAUGCAGAUGAGAUGGUUAGAAAUGAUGGAUGGCAGACACACCAUCAUUACCAACUGGGUCUUUUAUAAGAGUAGAGUUGACUGUAACUCCAAAAUGGUAUCUGUUGGUUUCUGAAAGUGUGCACCGCGAUGCUCCCUGUUAUAUGCACGCACCUUGCUGAAAUCCUGCAAUAUGUGUUCUAUUUUGAAUUUUAAGAGGCAGAUGUGUGUGAUCAUCAUGGUGCAGAUCAAUGUCUUAAAUGAAUCUGCCAUGCUGCCCUAGCUACUAUAUAUACACAUAAAACCUCUUUUUUUUUUUUCUUUUCGAGGUGUUGGCGAUCGUGUUGUAUACUUUUAUAAAGCUGACUUGAAAGGUUUAGAUUUACCUUUAUUUUUGUGGCAUCUGUUUAGCACUAGGGAAUGAGAGAAGUCAGUUUUGUCACUCAAAAAUGGAAAUGUUCUAUCCUUUGCACCUGAACAAAACUUGAGACGGUAGAUAGAUAGAGCCAGUUCAACAUGUAACAUCCCUAAAUGGUGGAAAGCUCCAGGAAGAAUCAGUUCAUUCUUCACGUUGUUGACCUACUGAAUCAGAAAGCAAUGUGGAGUCGGCUAUAUCGUCACGGUAACUCCAGAAGAGGACUCUAGAGAUGAACGGUUCAUCACAUUUCAGAUAAAAAUCCCAAUGCAUCUCAUUCCCCGGGAAAUUGCACUAUCUGACUCACUAGUAGAAAACGGGCCUUUGACCGGGACCAUUUAGUCCCGGCCUGCCUCUGGGCCGGGACUAAAGGCCCGGCCUGCCUCUGGGCCGGGACUAAAGGCCCGGCCACGUCGCCCCAAUUCUCAUAUCCUCCCUCGAGCCUUUAGUCCCGCCCCGUAAUGAGCCUUUAGUCCCGGUUCGUGUCCCAAACCGGGACUAAAGGGCUACGCGGUGGGCAGCCCGCAUGCGCGCCACCUUUAGUCCCGGUUUGCCUCUCAAACCGGGACUAAAGUCCUCUGCCUAUAUAUAGCACAGCCCCCCUCUCCCCUCUUCGUUGCAUUUUUCUUGGAUGGAGGAUUGUGGGUGGGUGCUUGCUCUCCACUUUUUUUGAUGCACUAGAG
RNAcentral lists this long non-coding RNA (2639 nucleotides) under Hordeum vulgare. RNAcentral describes it as "long non-coding RNA (HVUL_LNC014633)". The record is from RNAcentral. Lineage: Eukaryota; Viridiplantae; Streptophyta; Magnoliopsida; Poales; Poaceae.